Molecule: ribosomal RNA, 253 nt
Filed under: uncultured bacterium
Lineage: Bacteria
Description: partial 16S ribosomal RNA
Rfam family: Bacterial small subunit ribosomal RNA
Source: RNAcentral
GACAGAGGGUGCAAACGUUGCUCGGAAUCACUGGGCGUAAAGGGCGUGUAGGCGGGCAUGCAAGUCAGGCGUGAAAUCCCUGGGCUCAACCCAGGAAUUGCACUUGAAACUGCAUGUCUUGAGUAUCAGAGAGGAAAGCGGAAUUCCUGGUGUAGAGGUGAAAUUCGUAGAUAUCAGGAGGAACACCGGUGGCGAAGGCGGCUUUCUGGACGAUAACUGACGCUGAGACGCGAAAGCGUGGGGAGCAAACAGG